CGCUCAGAUUGAACGCUGGCGGCAGGCCUAACACAUGCAAGUCGAACGGUAGCACAGAGAGCUUGCUCUCGGGUGACGAGUGGCGGACGGGUGAGUAAUGUCUGGGAAACUGCCCGAUGGAGGGGGAUAACUACUGGAAACGGUAGCUAAUACCGCAUAACGUCGCAAGACCAAAGUGGGGGACCUUCGGGCCUCACACCAUCGGAUGUGCCCAGAUGGGAUUAGCUAGUAGGUGGGGUAAUGGCUCACCUAGGCGACGAUCCCUAGCUGGUCUGAGAGGAUGACCAGCCACACUGGAACUGAGACACGGUCCAGACUCCUACGGGAGGCAGCAGUGGGGAAUAUUGCACAAUGGGCGCAAGCCUGAUGCAGCCAUGCCGCGUGUAUGAAGAAGGCCUUCGGGUUGUGGAGUACCUCAGCGGGAGGAAGGCGGUAAG
Molecule: ribosomal RNA, 437 nt
Filed under: Enterobacteriaceae bacterium AE_04_2
Lineage: Bacteria; Pseudomonadati; Pseudomonadota; Gammaproteobacteria; Enterobacterales; Enterobacteriaceae
Description: bacterial SSU rRNA
Rfam family: Bacterial small subunit ribosomal RNA
Source: RNAcentral